GAUGAAGAACGCAGCGAAAUGCGAUACUUGGUGUGAAUUGCAGAAUCCCGUGAACCAUCGAGUCUUUGAACGCAAGUUGCGCCCGAAGCCACUAGGCCGAGGGCACGCCUGCCUGGGCGUCACACGUCGUUGCCCCCCCAUCUACUCCUUCGGGAUUGCGGGGGGGCGGAUGAUGGCCUCCCGUGCGCCUAGCCGCGCGGUUGGCAUAAAUACCAAGUCCUCGGCGACGCACGCCACGACAAUCGGUGGUUGCGAAACCUCGGUUGCCCGUCGUGUGCGUUCGUCGCGCAUCGAGGGCUCGAAAAAAUGCUCGGCUUCGGCUCAGCUUUCAACGCGACCCCAGGUCAGGCGGGGUUACCCGCUGAAUUUAAGCAUAUCAAUAAGCGGAGGA
Molecule: unclassified non-coding RNA, 391 nt
Filed under: soil metagenome
Description: partial contains 5.8S ribosomal RNA, internal transcribed spacer 2, and large subunit ribosomal RNA
Rfam family: 5.8S ribosomal RNA (bases 1-122)
Source: RNAcentral